GGGGGCGUAGCUCAGUUUGGCAGAGCGCGGCGUUCGCAACGCCGAGGUCAGGGGUUCGAUCCCCCUCGCCUCCACCA
Molecule: transfer RNA, 77 nt
Filed under: Acidobacteriota bacterium
Lineage: Bacteria; Pseudomonadati; Acidobacteriota
Also listed under: 1 other name
Description: Acidobacteria bacterium tRNA-Ala
Rfam family: tRNA
About the family: Transfer RNA (tRNA) molecules are approximately 80 nucleotides in length. Their secondary structure includes four short double-helical elements and three loops (D, anti-codon, and T loops).
Source: RNAcentral